RNAcentral lists this ribosomal RNA (502 nucleotides) under Paenibacillaceae bacterium CL2.93. RNAcentral's name for it is "bacterial SSU rRNA". It matches the Rfam family "Bacterial small subunit ribosomal RNA", at positions 15 to 495 of the family's 1533-position model. The record is from RNAcentral. Lineage: Bacteria; Bacillati; Bacillota; Bacilli; Caryophanales; Paenibacillaceae.
GAUCCCUGGCUCAGGACGAACGCUGGCGGCGUGCCUAAUACAUGCAAGUCGAGCGGAGUUGAUGAGGUGCUUGCACCUCUGAUACUUAGCGGCGGACGGGUGAGUAACACGUGGGUAACCUGCCUGUAAGACUGGGAUAACAUUCGGAAACGAAUGCUAAUACCGGAUACGCGAUUUGGUCGCAUGAUCGAAUCGGGAAAGAUGGAGCAAUCUAUCACUUACAGAUGGACCCGCGGCGCAUUAGCUAGUUGGUGAGGUAACGGCUCACCAAGGCGACGAUGCGUAGCCGACCUGAGAGGGUGAUCGGCCACACUGGGACUGAGACACGGCCCAGACUCCUACGGGAGGCAGCAGUAGGGAAUCUUCCGCAAUGGACGAAAGUCUGACGGAGCAACGCCGCGUGAGUGAUGAAGGUUUUCGGAUCGUAAAGCUCUGUUGCCAGGGAAGAAUGCUUGGGAGAGUAACUGCUCYCAAGGUGACGGUACCUGAGAAGAAAGCCCCG